Molecule: ribosomal RNA, 310 nt
Filed under: uncultured Spirotrichea
Lineage: Eukaryota; Ciliophora; Spirotrichea
Description: SSU rRNA
Rfam family: Eukaryotic small subunit ribosomal RNA
Source: RNAcentral
AUUCUAGAGCUAAUACAUGCAGCUGAGCCCGACUCACGAAGGGCCGUAUUUAUUAGAUAUCAGCCAAUAAGCGUCAGCUAUUGUGGUGACUCAUAGUAACUUAAUCGGAUCGCAUGGGCUCGUCCCGCGACAAACCAUUCAAGUUUCUGCCCCAUCAUGCUUUCGAUGGUAGUGUAUUGGACUACCAUGGCUUUCACGGGUAACGGAGGAUUAGGGUUCGAUUCCGGAGAGGGAGCCUGAGAAACGGCUACCACUUCCACGGAAGGCAGCAGGCGCGUAAAUUACCCAAUCCUGAUUCAGGGAGGUAGUG